This 253-nucleotide ribosomal RNA is filed under the name uncultured bacterium. RNAcentral's name for it is "partial 16S ribosomal RNA". It matches the Rfam family "Bacterial small subunit ribosomal RNA", at positions 524 to 776 of the family's 1533-position model. The record is from RNAcentral.
UACGUAGGAGGCGAGCGUUGUCCGGAGUUACUGGGCGUAAAGGGUGCGCAGGCGGCCCGCCGCGUGGGGGGUGAAAUCUCGCCGCUUAACGGCGAGGGGGCUUUCCAGACGGGCGGGCUUGAGAGGCGGAGGGGGGCGCGGAAUUCCGGGUGGAGCGGUGAAAUGCGUAGAGAUCCGGAAGAACACCGACGGCGAAGGCAGCGCCCUGGACGCUAUCUGACGCUCGGGCACGAAAGCGCGGGGAGCAAACAGG